GACGAACCGUGCGAACGUUAUUCGGAAUCACUGGGCUUAAAGGGCGCGUAGGCGGGUUGCCAAGUCGGAGGUGAAAUCCUGCAGCUCAACUGCAGAAGUGCCCCCGAUACUGGCAGCCUCGAGUGAGGUAGGGGCAUGUGGAAUUCCCGGUGUAGUGGUGAAAUGCGUAGAUAUCGGGAGGAACACCAGUGGCGAAGGCGACUACCUGGCCUGUUCUUGACGCUGAGGCGCGAAAGCUAGGGGAGCAAACGGG
This 253-nucleotide ribosomal RNA is filed under the name uncultured bacterium. RNAcentral's name for it is "partial 16S ribosomal RNA". It matches the Rfam family "Bacterial small subunit ribosomal RNA", at positions 524 to 776 of the family's 1533-position model. The record is from RNAcentral.